Sphaeramia orbicularis (orbiculate cardinalfish) is the source of this 965-nucleotide long non-coding RNA. RefSeq lists it as uncharacterized. The transcript is spliced from 4 exons. The record is from RefSeq and is a predicted model, not a curated record. NCBI's taxonomy places the organism in Eukaryota, Metazoa, Chordata, Actinopteri, Kurtiformes, Apogonidae.
AUUGGAAACGCGAACAAGGCUAAAUAAACGUGUUUCAAAUGAGCGACACAUGGAGAGAACCUACUUUCAUGGAAUACAUAAUUCUGAGGUGGUGGAAGGAAGACAGAGAGGACCCACGCAGACGCUGGAAGAACAUGCAAACUCAACACAGAAAGGUCCACAUGGGCUGGGGCUGGAAUCCCUGUCAAUACGCUGAAGUAAUGCAGACAGGAUGAAGACCAGGUACUUAAUGAAGCGUCUGGGUCGUCCACACCUGCAACACAUUCCAAGAAAAAGUUGGGGAAGCAACAAUUUAUAUCUAGUAAUGAGACCUAAAUGUCAGGAACGGGUAUGUGUUUACAAGUAAAAUGAAGCUGAACAGGUAAAUCAUUAAAUACAGCUUUGGAAAUAAUUAUUUAACCACCUGGGAUAUUCUGUAGAAAUGCAAUAAAACCACUCUUCUGUAUGACCUUUUGAUAAUCUGUUCUUGGAAUAUUAAUAGUUUCUCCAGUGUUUGUCAAAGGUUUAAAAUCACAGUCUUAUUUUUUACAUGCAGCAAUCUAGGUAUGGAGUUUUAUAUUGACAGAAUGAAUAUAUAAAUGUACAGAUAUUGGUACAAAAUCACCAAACUAUGACCUUAAAGAAUAAGAAUGGACGUCGAAUGAAACACGUCGCUACAGUGGCCAGAUAGUUUGUAAACCCUUUGAAAAUUCAUAGUUUUCUGCAUGAAUUGGUCAUAAAAGGUGAUGUAAUCUACUUGUAAAUCACAAACAGACACAAACAUUUUUUAAACAACUAAUACCUCACAUACAAUUCUAAUAUUUCAUGUAUUUAUUGAACGCAGCUGUUUAACGCUCCUAAUGCUGCUGGAAAAAGUAAGUGAACCCUAGGCUAAGUCAGUGGUUCCCAUCCUUUUUUGGCUCGUAACUCCAUUUUAACAUCACAAAUUCCUAGCAACUUUUUUUUUUUUUUUGCUAAAAUUAAUU